UUGGGCUUUUAUUUUGUUGUA
This 21-nucleotide non-coding RNA is filed under the name Arabidopsis thaliana (thale cress). The record is from RNAcentral. Lineage: Eukaryota; Viridiplantae; Streptophyta; Magnoliopsida; Brassicales; Brassicaceae.